Non-coding RNA from Mycena alexandri, 105 nucleotides. NCBI's taxonomy places the organism in Eukaryota, Fungi, Basidiomycota, Agaricomycetes, Agaricales, Mycenaceae. The record is from the annotation of a GenBank genome assembly.
GUCUAGGUAGUAUAGUGGUUAGUAUGCUCGCUUGUGGUAUCGAUACGUUCACUGCGAACGUAAGUGCAACCGCGAUUGACGUCAGUUCGAUUCUGGCCCUGGACA